This 514-nucleotide ribosomal RNA is filed under the name uncultured Desulfobulbus sp. Its description in RNAcentral is "bacterial SSU rRNA". It matches the Rfam family "Bacterial small subunit ribosomal RNA", at positions 903 to 1382 of the family's 1533-position model. The record is from RNAcentral. Lineage: Bacteria; Pseudomonadati; Thermodesulfobacteriota; Desulfobulbia; Desulfobulbales; Desulfobulbaceae.
CGCCUUGCCAGCCCGCUACAGAAACUCAAAGGAAGUUGACGGGGGCCCGGCACAAGCGGUGGAGUAUGUGGUUUAAUUCGAUGCAACGCGAAGAACCUUACCUGGUCUUGACAUCCCGGAGACCCUUAGGAAACUAGGGGGUGCUUCCAUCUGGAAGAAUCUGGAGACAGGUGCUGCAUGGCUGUCGUCAGCUCGUGUCGUGAGAUGUUGGGUUAAGUCCCGCAACGAGCGCAACCCUUGCCUUUAGUUGCCAGCAGUUCGGCUGGGCACUCUAAAGGGACUGCCGGUGUUAAACCGGAGGAAGGUGGGGAUGACGUCAAGUCCUCAUGGCCUUUAUGACCAGGGCUACACACGUACUACAAUGGCCGAUACAAAGGGCAGCGACACUGCGAGGUGAAGCCAAUCCCGUAAAAUCGGUCUCAGUCCGGAUUGGAGUCUGCAACUCGACUCCAUGAAGUUGGAAUCGCUAGUAAUCGUGGAUCAGCAUGCCACGGUGAAUACGUUCCCGGGCCUU